Molecule: non-coding RNA, 177 nt
Organism: Camellia sinensis
Lineage: Eukaryota; Viridiplantae; Streptophyta; Magnoliopsida; Ericales; Theaceae
Source: RefSeq, a predicted model, not a curated record
ACGAGACCGAGAAGGGAAGAAGGAUCAAGAUCCUCGGGAGAGUCCUUUUUGCCUCUGUUUUCAUUCUCUCUGCAUGGCAAGAAGCUCUAGGAAAUCUUCAGUGUUGGAGAGUGUUGUUGGAAAGGACUUUUUGCCUCGUGGAUCUGGAAUUGUUACCAGACAUCCUCUUGUCCUACA